GGCUAACUUGGAGGAAGAGUAACAGGCGACUUUCAGGAGGCAAUAAGCGUCUUCGUGAGGGAGCCUCCUCUACACAGGCAUUGAGUUUUCUGAAGUGCACAUACAAUCCGGUGUUCUUCGUCUUAAAAAGAGGAUAUAUUCUCAUUUGUAUCACUAGGAUACACAUUUAUAUGAGUUGGGGGAUAUGUUUGUUCAAUGUUCAUUAGGCAAAUUAACAAUAGAUAUAAUAUCAUUAGGACACCUUUUUAGUUUUUUAACGAUUAGGACAUUAUUAAUAAUCAUUAGAUCUAAAUAGUAUGAUCUAUCGGUUACAAUCAAAAUUAACCUUUUUAGUUACAGUGUACCUAAUCAUGUUUGAAUGUGUUAAACAGGAGCUCCGAAUCUGUUGUUGAGUUUGGUGAAACCGCACUUGAAAGGUACAUCAGCUUCAAAAAUUGACGCUUUGAAAUCAAUUGGGUUUGGUGGAACUACAACGGUACAUCUUGAUUUGAUGUACGAGGAUUUCAACCGGUGGGCCGUAGAAGUUUAAGAUGUUGGAACCAAUUCCUUUUACUUGAUCAAGAGCGAUGUUCUUACGAUAACUAUAAAAGAUGUGAAAAGAGUGCAUGACAUAAACAUAAACAAUAUGUUCUACAAAUAAAUUGUAAAUACCAUUACAAAUAUUAUUGAAAAUAAUGAAUUUGAAAUGUGAUAAAUUAAAUUGUAUCAUAAUUUGAAUUAUUAGUACUGAUUGUACCAAGGAGAUGAAACGAG
This 753-nucleotide long non-coding RNA is filed under the name Linum usitatissimum (flax). RNAcentral describes it as "long non-coding RNA (LUSI_LNC005790)". The record is from RNAcentral. Lineage: Eukaryota; Viridiplantae; Streptophyta; Magnoliopsida; Malpighiales; Linaceae.